UACGAAGGGGGCUAGCGUUGCUCGGAAUCACUGGGCGUAGAGCGCACGUAGGCGGAUUGCUAAGUCAGGGGUGAAAUCCUGGAGCUCAACUCCAGAACUGCCCUUGAUACUGGCGGUCUCGAGUCCGGGAGAGGUGAGUGGAACUGCGAGUGUAGAGGUGAAAUUCGUAGAUAUUCGCAAGAACACCAGUGGCGAAGGCGGCUCACUGGCCCGGUACUGACGCUGAGGAGCGAAAGCGUGGGGAGCGAACAGG
This 253-nucleotide ribosomal RNA is filed under the name uncultured bacterium. RNAcentral's name for it is "partial 16S ribosomal RNA". It matches the Rfam family "Bacterial small subunit ribosomal RNA", at positions 524 to 776 of the family's 1533-position model. The record is from RNAcentral.